UCACUCUCAGUGUUUUGGGGAUGGGGAAGGUGCAGUGGGCAGCGGGGCGGAGACAGACAGACAGACAGUGAAAAUGCAGAGACGUGACUGAAGAUUCAGCCCUAAACUGGACAUCUAUAGCAACCCUCCCCCGGUGCUUGGGAAACAAUGUGGAAGAGGGCAGGAAGGUGGGGAGGGGGCUACGAGGUGCUGUCUUCUGAAUGCGACAUGGCUGUGGCAUUCAUGAGUUCACAGACGCUAUGGGUCCCUGCAUGAGAUCAUGCCAACAAGAGCGGCCGGCAUUCCAGCAGGCAGCACUCGGUGGGAUGCAAAAAGUGGGGAGACCUGAAAGUGACAGAGGGAUGUGUGUUGGUUGGGAGGUGUUUGGUGGAGAAAUUAAUAAGGGGAGAAUAUGCUCAAGAUAAAUUAUAUACAUGUAUGAAAUUGUCAAAUUCUAAAAAUAUUUUAUGCAAAAUAAACAUAUCCAUAUCAUCAGCAUACAAGUUUUCUUUUAGUAAAUGGUAAAAUUAAAUGCAAAGCAAUGAAUUAUUAAUUAAAAUCCUUUACGGUUUACU
Long non-coding RNA from Microtus ochrogaster (prairie vole), 554 nucleotides. RefSeq lists it as uncharacterized. Lineage: Eukaryota; Metazoa; Chordata; Mammalia; Rodentia; Cricetidae. The transcript is spliced from 2 exons. The record is from RefSeq and is a predicted model, not a curated record.